This is a long non-coding RNA of Ctenopharyngodon idella (grass carp), 344 nucleotides long. RefSeq lists it as uncharacterized. The record is from RefSeq and is a predicted model, not a curated record. The transcript is spliced from 3 exons. NCBI's taxonomy places the organism in Eukaryota, Metazoa, Chordata, Actinopteri, Cypriniformes, Xenocyprididae.
CUGUGCUCCUCACCGCGCGACCUGACAAAGAGCAAAUGCAUGAGAAAUAUGGCAAGCCGUUUUAAUAUCCAACUAAUAAGAAUCUUUUUUUUUUUUUCUUGUUACGAGUAAUUUAACAAACAAAGCCAUUGAGCUUGGGGCGACCCGAGUUCGAGUCCCGGCUCGAGGACCUUUCCCGAUCUCACUCCGCUCUCUCAUAAUAAAGGACCUCUGUAUAGUUUAUCCUCAUCUCACUCACCAGCUUAAGAAAAUCAAUGAGUUUAUAGGCAUCUUCCCCUGUGGUCAGGUCCAUGAAGUCUCGUGGGAUUCUGUAGGACAGACAUGGGCUGGGCUGAACCGUGACC